CAACAUAAAAGGACAUUGGAAGCAUUCUGAAUCCUCAAGAUGAGCGCUCUGCAAAUACAAAGCUUGACCGCUUCUGAUCACCUUGAGUGCUACCUGCCCGGUCCAGGCCAAUGCCUUCUAUUACCUUAUCAUUGCAAUAGCCUCCUAACUAGUCUCCUUGCUGCUGCUCUGUACUCUCUACAGUUGAAGAUCCAGAACAGAUUUUAUCUUGAUUGAAAAUUAGAUUUUCAAACACAUUGAUGCCCACAAUGACUGUUUCACCAGCUGCUGAAGACCAGAAUUUUGGGAACCUUUGCCCCAGAGAAACCGUAAACACUGGCCAGAGAGAAUCAAAUUAAGAAAUGUUGGAUCACAUUUAAUUCUGCUGCAUUAGCAUUAAUUUUUCCAUAUCUUUGCAGAAAAAUGCUGGGGAUUAGAUGCAUUAUUAAAUUUAUUAUUCUAAUUCUUAUUAUUGUUGUUUGUUGGGUUCUUGAGAGUGCUUUUAUUUCCCUCCUUACUCUUCCUAUAAUAAAUUACUU
RNAcentral lists this long non-coding RNA (518 nucleotides) under Papio anubis (olive baboon). RNAcentral describes it as "lncRNA (ENSPANG00000049573.1)". The record is from RNAcentral. Lineage: Eukaryota; Metazoa; Chordata; Mammalia; Primates; Cercopithecidae.